Molecule: ribosomal RNA, 492 nt
Filed under: uncultured bacterium
Lineage: Bacteria
Description: partial 16S ribosomal RNA
Rfam family: Bacterial small subunit ribosomal RNA
Source: RNAcentral
AGUGAACGCUGGCGGUAGGCCUAACACAUGCAAGUCGAACGGCAGCACAGUAAGAGCUUGCUCUUACGGGUGGCGAGUGGCGGACGGGUGAGGAAUACAUCGGAAUCUACUUUUUCGUGGGGGAUAACGUAGGGAAACUUACGCUAAUACCGCAUACGACCUACGGGUGAAAGCAGGGGAUCUUCGGACCUUGCGCGAUUGAAUGAGCCGAUGUCGGAUUAGCUAGUUGGCGGGGUAAAGGCCCACCAAGGCGACGAUCCGUAGCUGGUCUGAGAGGAUGAUCAGCCACACUGGAACUGAGACACGGUCCAGACUCCUACGGGAGGCAGCAGUGGGGAAUAUUGGACAAUGGGCGCAAGCCUGAUCCAGCCAUACCGCGUGGGUGAAGAAGGCCUUCGGGUUGUAAAGCCCUUUUGUUAGGAAAGAAAAGCAGCAGGUUAAUACCCCGCUGUUCUGACGGUGCCCAAAGAAUAAGCACCGGCUAACUUCGUG